UGUUUAUAAAACAGCUUUCUAGAGGGGGUUGCUAUGUGGAUGGUGCGCGCGCUUUCGGGCGUGUGUGCUUUUUCGCAUGCAUUCUUUCUGGGAGGCUACAACCAUUCCGGUGACCAUUCUAUACCUUUUCCGCAAAAUGGUGCGCGAGCCUUUCGAGGUAAGCCACUGUUUUGUAUAUAUAUUUUAUCUAAAACCCACCAUGAAAAACCACAACAGAAACGAAACCAAGAAAAUAAAACUCGUGACGGAGGAUAUCUUGGCUCCCACAUCGAUGAAGAACGCAGCGAAAUGCGAUACGUAGUGUGAAUUGCAGAACACGUGAGUCAUCGAAUCUUUGAACGCAAGUGGUGCUCGCGGGCAAUCCUGCGAGCAUGUCUGUUUGAGUGUCCGCACAAAUUACUCGCACCCUUUUGUUCUUUUUGCUUUGGAAUUUAUUCUGAGGUAGGAAGUGAGAAAGGGGGCGGCGAUUGGGUUUUUAAUCUGCUUCACUGCGGAAGACCCGGAAAGCAGUGCUUGGAAAAUGGUACGGGGGUUUCGGCUCUUCGUGUCCUUCCGUGUGCGUUAACAUGUCUGCGCGACUAUCUAGCGCGGAAAACCAGUGUUUAAAACCAGCAAGCAAUGCGUGGUGCUUUUGUAGCGUCCGCUGCGCUGAGAAGAAAGGAAGUCUGGACGGGAUCAACGUUUCGGAGCUCUCUGCUGGGAAGUAACUACAUUCCAGGGGGGCGACGAGAUUGUGGAUGUUUUGUGCCAAACUGCCAUGAAAAAACUUUUCGGGGCACACGGCGGGAAUAGUCCGGCUGGAGGAGGAGUUCAUUUCACAUGGACGCAUUCUCUGGUUGGAAUUCUGCGGUGUAAAAGGCGGUGCGUGAAGGGGUGCUGUACACUACAUGCGCAGUGCGUCACUGGCGGACUUUAUUUUUUGGAUCUCAAAUCA
Molecule: ribosomal RNA, 934 nt
Filed under: Sheathia arcuata
Lineage: Eukaryota; Rhodophyta; Florideophyceae; Batrachospermales; Batrachospermaceae
Description: eukaryotic LSU rRNA
Rfam family: 5.8S ribosomal RNA (bases 237-389)
Source: RNAcentral